GAACAAAUUAGGAAGGCAAAAGUUCAGCUAGAACUCAAUCCAGUCACUGCUGUGUAAGAUUAUAGAAAGUGUUUUUACAAAACACCACUAACAAAAGAGGCACAAGGAACAUCUCCAUCCUUUAUGGGAUGUGGAGGGGAACAUUAUCACUACAGAUAAGGAAAAUGCUGCCUUCUUUGCCUCAGUCUUUAACAAUAAGACUGGUCAUCCUCAGGGCAACCAGCCCCCUGAGCUGGCAGUCAGGGGCAGAGAGCAGAAAAGACCCCCCACAAUCCAGGAGGAAAUGGUCAGUGACCUUCUGUGCCACCUAGGCACUCACAAACCCAUGGGGCCUGAUGGGAUCCUCCCAAAGGUACUGAGGGAACUGGCAGAAGAGCAAAACCAUUGGUAAUUAUUACUAAGUACAAAUUACUAACAUACAUGACAAUUAUGCUUAGAUACUUUAUAUACUAUAUGAAAAAUUUAGGACUGUGAUGGAUGAAUUCUCAUGAAUCAUAGGUCUUCCCCAUCCCCACCAGAGAAAGGAAACUCGCCAAGUAUUUAUUUUAUUCUAAACUUUGAAAUAGUUUCAGUAUUGAAAUAAAAAAAUACCAACCAAAACUCCCCAAAAACUAAGCCUGAAAGUCCAUCUCACUAAACAUAGCUGAUUUUUGAUCUGAAAUAUUUUGAAAAUAUUUCAGCUGAUUUCUCCCAUACUUUCAUUUUAUCAUAUAGCCAAUGCUUAAUUACAGAAUAUGCAUUUAUUUGGCAGCAAGAAGCUUGUGGUGGUCACAGCCUGGGUAACACACCAGACCCCAUGUGCAGUUGCUGUUAUACAUCACAAGAAUUCUCUUUUGAGGUCUGUACUCAUGGUUGAUUUAAAUGACCACAGCUCUGUUGAAUUGGCUGUGGUAUUCUUUUUACCAACAAUUAAUUUGGUCUUGCAACCACUGAAAAAUCUUCAGGAUCAUGAGCUUUAUUUCAAGCUCAUAAAUAGAACAAAACUGCACAUCCCAGUUGAAUAUCAGUCUUUGACCUACUCUGAUUUUUUUCUUCUGUUCUUCAUAAAUAAUCACUGUAAUGGAAGCAGAGCUGCUCUGGAGCAACAAAUUAUAAAAGUUGUACUUGAGUCUGCUGAUUGGGAUGUGAUUGAAUAGAUAAUUUACAGAUGACUAUUGAACAAAGAGCCUCUGGUGGCUCAAAAUAACCCAUUUCUUUGUAAACUCUUGAAAGCAGGGGAAAAACAAUGCCAAACCCCCUCUCUUUAAAGGCCAAGGUAAGCACAUGGAGUGUGUUCUGGCUGUGGAAAUGAUCUGCUCUGUCUGGGUGGAAAUGAGGGGAAACUGAAAAACCCAGAUGGAGAAAUGGAUACAUGCUGUAGCAUCUGAAGUGAGCAGCCAGUGGGGCACCAGCAGGAAAGGUUCCCUAGGCUCUCCCACAAACACAGAGCUGGGAGAAUGUGUUUAAUACUCAGGGCUUUGGCAGCUUGCAGUCUGCCUGAGAGCAGCGGAGCUAGACUGAAGAGCAAAAUGAUGGUGCUUAGGUGAUGUGCUCUGAGACUGGAAAAGAGGGGAAAAAAGGGGAAAACUGUAGAUAUGAUAGAGACAGUCCUGCAAAUCAAACCUGGGUGACAUGGUUCUGCAGGGAAUGCUGGUGGUAUCCCUGCUUCUGCCAGCAGGAGUGGGUUUCUGUUGCAACAGGGCUGUGCUACUCUGCAGUGUCUCCUGCACUGAACCUGCCCAUGUGUCUGCUCUCAUCUCUGCUUCUGUUGACCAGUUCUCAAUAUGCUCAUAGAAAUGCCUUGGUUAAAGCAAACCAGUGAUUUAAUUCUUGGUUUCACUUCUAAGUUUUCAGUGUUACAAGGACAUUACAAGUCCUAUUAA
Molecule: non-coding RNA, 1862 nt
Organism: Cyanistes caeruleus (blue tit)
Lineage: Eukaryota; Metazoa; Chordata; Aves; Passeriformes; Paridae
Source: RefSeq, a predicted model, not a curated record